RNAcentral lists this ribosomal RNA (450 nucleotides) under uncultured organism. Its description in RNAcentral is "partial 16S ribosomal RNA". It matches the Rfam family "Bacterial small subunit ribosomal RNA", at positions 331 to 797 of the family's 1533-position model. The record is from RNAcentral.
GUACACUCCUGCGGGAGGCAGCAGUGGGGAAUAUUGGACAAUGGGCGCAAGCCUGAUCCAGCCAUGCCGCGUGAGUGAUGAAGGCCCUAGGGUUGUAAAGCUCUUUCACCGGUGAAGAUAAUGACGGUAACCGGAGAAGAAGCCCCGGCUAACUUCGUGCCAGCAGCCGCGGUAAUACGAAGGGGGCUAGCGUUGUUCGGAUUUACUGGGCGUAAAGCGCACGUAGGCGGACUAUUAAGUCAGGGGUGAAAUCCCGGGGCUCAACCCCGGAACUGCCUUUGAUACUGGUAGUCUUGAGUUCGAGAGAGGUGAGUGGAAUUCCGGGUGUAGAGGUGAAAUUCGUAGAUAUUCGGAGGAACACCAGUGGCGAAGGCGGCUCACUGGCUCGAUACUGACGCUGAGGUGCGAAAGCGUGGGGAGCAAACAGGAUUAGAAACCCCUGUAGUCCCA